CGGCGAAACUUUGAUCAUUCUGAUUCCGGCUGCUGGAAAUAGAGAGAGAAAAGAAGUUGGGGAAGGUUUAACUUGGUGGUUUCCCUUGGAUUAUCAUAUAUAGCUCCUUCUUGUGUUGACUUUGAACUCUAAUGCCAAAUCUCCUUUCUUCAAGGAGGUGUCAUAUCCCUAACCUAGAUACAUAUUCAGCCAGACUGUUCUGUCCC
Molecule: long non-coding RNA, 206 nt
Filed under: Vigna radiata
Lineage: Eukaryota; Viridiplantae; Streptophyta; Magnoliopsida; Fabales; Fabaceae
Description: long non-coding RNA (VRAD_LNC010722)
Source: RNAcentral